RNAcentral lists this non-coding RNA (23 nucleotides) under Arabidopsis thaliana (thale cress). Lineage: Eukaryota; Viridiplantae; Streptophyta; Magnoliopsida; Brassicales; Brassicaceae. The record is from RNAcentral.
GAACGACCUGUGUCCCCCUAGCA